RNAcentral lists this unclassified non-coding RNA (175 nucleotides) under soil metagenome. RNAcentral describes it as "partial contains 5.8S ribosomal RNA, internal transcribed spacer 2, and large subunit ribosomal RNA". The record is from RNAcentral.
AACGAGGCCGACCUGCGGCUGAGUUACCUGCGGAGGGAUCAUUAAAGAUUGGCCGAGAGGCCUUAUCUCUAUAUCCCACACCUCUGUGAACCGUUGACCCUCGGGUCUAUCAUACAAACAUCAGUGUAAUGAACGUAAAUAACAUUAACAAAACAAAACUUUCAACAACGGAUCU